AGAGCCUGAUUUGCAAAAGUUUAUGAACACACAAGCACCUAUACUCUUCCCUAAAGUGUUUUACACCACACGCAGUGGCUGUGAGCAGCACGUGCAAUGGCAGCAGCAUGGGGAAAACCAGAUCUACUGCUGAUGCAAGCAUGCAUACAAACAGGGAAGACGAAAAAGUCUUCUGUCCUUUUUUUUGCAGUUUUAUUUUUCUUUUAAAAAGGUUUUUGGCACUACAUCGUUCUGUAAAGAAUAGAAGUGACAAAUUUUUAAACACAUGAAAUCCCCUUCUAAUUUUAUUCUUUU
Pezoporus flaviventris is the source of this 294-nucleotide long non-coding RNA. RefSeq lists it as uncharacterized. NCBI's taxonomy places the organism in Eukaryota, Metazoa, Chordata, Aves, Psittaciformes, Psittacidae. The record is from RefSeq and is a predicted model, not a curated record. The transcript has 2 exons.